GAUGAACGCUGACAGAAUGCUUAACACAUGCAAGUCUACUUGAACUUCGGUUUGGGUGGCGGACGGGUGAGUAACGCGUAAAGAACUUGCCUCACAGUUAGGGACAACAUUUGGAAACGAAUGCUAAUACCUGAUAUUAUGAUUUUAGGGCAUCCUAGGAUUAUGAAAGCUAUAUGUGCUGUGAGAGAGCUUUGCGUCCCAUUAGCUAGUUGGAGAGGUAACGGCUCACCAAGGCGAUGAUGGGUAGCCGGCCUGAGAGGGUGAACGGCCACAAGGGGACUGAGACACGGCCCUUACUCCUACGGGAGGCAGCAGUGGGGAAUAUUGAACAAUGGACCAAAAGUCUGAUACAGCAAUUCUGUGUGCACGAUGACGUUUUUCGGAAUGUAAAGUGCUUUCAGUUGGGAAGAAAAAAAUGACGGUACCAACAGAAGAAGUGACGGCUAAAUACGUG
This 454-nucleotide ribosomal RNA is filed under the name uncultured bacterium. Its description in RNAcentral is "partial 16S ribosomal RNA". It matches the Rfam family "Bacterial small subunit ribosomal RNA", at positions 28 to 507 of the family's 1533-position model. The record is from RNAcentral.